AUUGAACGCUGGCGGCAGGCCUAACACAUGCAAGUCGAACGAGUGGCGGACGGGUGAGUAAUGUCUGGGAAACUGUCCGUUGGCGGGGGAUCACUGCUGGAAACGGUUGCUAAUCCCGCAUUCCAUCCGAUGUGCCCAGAUGGUGUUAGCUAGUAGGUGGGGUAACGGCUCACCUAGGCGACUAUCCCUAGCUGGUCUGAGAGGAUGACCGGCCACACUGGGACUGAGACACGGUCCAGACUCCUACGGGAGGCAGCAGUGGGGAAUAUUGCACAAUGGGCGCAAGCCUGAUGCAGCCAUGCCGCGUGUAUGAAGAAGGCCUUCGGGUUGUAAAGUACUUUCAGCGGGGAGGCGUUACUCACAGAAGAAGCACCGGCUAACUCCGUGCCAGCAGCCGCGGUAAUUC
RNAcentral lists this ribosomal RNA (406 nucleotides) under uncultured bacterium. RNAcentral describes it as "partial 16S ribosomal RNA". It matches the Rfam family "Bacterial small subunit ribosomal RNA", at positions 30 to 526 of the family's 1533-position model. The record is from RNAcentral.